RNAcentral lists this small nuclear RNA (297 nucleotides) under Neotoma lepida (desert woodrat). RNAcentral describes it as "7SK RNA". It matches the Rfam family "7SK RNA". From Rfam's summary of the family: 7SK was discovered as an abundant small nuclear RNA in the mid-70s but a possible function has only recently been suggested. Two independent studies have found that 7SK RNA binds the CDK9/cyclin T complex (known as elongation factor P-TEFb). Lineage: Eukaryota; Metazoa; Chordata; Mammalia; Rodentia; Cricetidae. The record is from Rfam by way of RNAcentral.
GGAUGUAAGAGUGAUCUGGUUGUGACAUCUGUCACUGAUUGAUCACCAGGGUUGAUUUGGCUGAUCUGGCGGGCUAGGCAGAUAGAUGUCCCUUUCCUCCCUCACCACUCCAUGAAGCUUUGUGCUCAGUUGAAGAGCACAAACUUUCCCAAAUAGAGGAAGACCAGUCUUCAAUUGAGGGCAUAUGAGUAGAUGUGCUUCCAUGCUAGAACACCCAAACAAGCUCUCAAGAUAAUGUAUUAUGCGUUCUAGGAAUUCAGAUGUGAAUAUCAUUGAUGUGGUGUCUACCACAAAAAU